RNAcentral lists this ribosomal RNA (253 nucleotides) under uncultured bacterium. RNAcentral describes it as "partial 16S ribosomal RNA". It matches the Rfam family "Bacterial small subunit ribosomal RNA", at positions 524 to 776 of the family's 1533-position model. The record is from RNAcentral.
UACGAAGGGGGCUAGCGUUGCUCGGAUUGACUGGGCGUAAAGGGCGCGUAGGCGGUUCGUACAGUCAGACGUGAAAUUCCUGGGCUCAACCUGGGGGCUGCGUUUGAUACGUGCGGACUUGAGUGCGGAAGAGGGUCGUGGAAUUCCCAGUGUAGAGGUGAAAUUCGUAGAUAUUCGGAAGAACACCAGUGGCUAAGGCGGCUCACUGGUCCGGUACUGACGCUGAGGUGCGAAAGCGUGGGGAGCAAACAGG